Pseudopipra pipra is the source of this 553-nucleotide long non-coding RNA. RefSeq lists it as uncharacterized. The record is from RefSeq and is a predicted model, not a curated record. The transcript is spliced from 3 exons. Lineage: Eukaryota; Metazoa; Chordata; Aves; Passeriformes; Pipridae.
UUCACUAAUUUUGCCUUUUUGUUGUUGGGGGUGACUUCUUCCCAGGGAUGUUCUUCUUGAUCCCCCGGGGCAAAGGGAGGUGUCAGCGUCAGGAGCCAUCCUAACUGGGGCCCUGGUAGGUCAGUGCUUUUUGUGUGACUGGACGGUGAAGCUGUCUGUGGGAAUGACCUGGCUAGUGCUCAGUGUAGUCCUAAUUAAGGUGUCUUUUACUCCGUGUUCCCAGGCUCCCUGUUUUCCUUCGGUCGCCGUGGGUGUGCCGGCCGCCUCUGGCAGGACUAACCCUGUGGCUUUUAUGUCCAACGUGCUGUGCUGUGUGUGCCUGCAGGUGGUUGGUGUUUCUGCAGUGUUUGGCACAGGACUGGGGGAGAUUUUUACCCAGCUUUCUAAAGCUGUAGAUGAAUAGGAGAGACUGAAUGCACUCCCUUUAUUCACCUUUUCAGAGAGUAUCGGCCAGAAUACGAGCGCCUGAGAAAAACACUGGUAAGUGUUUUUAGCUGUUUUACACCUGAACAGUGUAUCUUGGGUCACUUUUGUGCACACAAUUGCCUUUAUG